This 253-nucleotide ribosomal RNA is filed under the name uncultured bacterium. RNAcentral describes it as "partial 16S ribosomal RNA". It matches the Rfam family "Bacterial small subunit ribosomal RNA", at positions 524 to 776 of the family's 1533-position model. The record is from RNAcentral.
UACAGAGAUUGCGAGCGUUAUUCGGAUUCACUGGGCGUAAAGGGUGCGCAGGCGGCCGAGUGUGUGAGGCGUGAAAGCCCGGGGCUUAACCCCGGAAUUGCACCUCAAACUACACGGCUAGAGCAUUGGAGAGGGUAGCAGAAUUCACGGUGUAGCAGUGAAAUGCGUAGAUAUCGUGAGGAAUACCAGAGGCGAAGGCGGCUACCUGGACAAUUGCUGACGCUCAGGCACGAAAGCGUGGGGAGCAAAAGGG